This 384-nucleotide ribosomal RNA is filed under the name uncultured bacterium. Its description in RNAcentral is "bacterial SSU rRNA". It matches the Rfam family "Bacterial small subunit ribosomal RNA", at positions 957 to 1341 of the family's 1533-position model. The record is from RNAcentral.
UAACGCGAAGAACCUUACCUGGUCUUGACAUCCGCGGAACUGCCCAGAGAUGGGCGGGUGCCUUCGGGAGCCGCGAGACAGGUGCUGCAUGGCUGUCGUCAGCUCGUGUCGUGAGAUGUUGGGUUAAGUCCCGCAACGAGCGCAACCCUUGUCCUUAGUUGCCAGCACGUAAUGGUGGGAACUCUAAGGAGACCGCCGGUGACAAACCGGAGGAAGGUGGGAUGACGUCAAGUCAUCAUGGCCCUUACGACCAGGGCUACACACGUACUACAAUGGUGGGGACAGAGGGCUGCGAACCCGCGAGGGGGAGCCAAUCCCAGAAACCCCAUCUCAGUCCGGAUUGGAGUCUGCAACUCGACUCCAUGAGGUCGGAAUCGCUAGUAA